This 419-nucleotide ribosomal RNA is filed under the name uncultured eukaryote. Its description in RNAcentral is "bacterial SSU rRNA". It matches the Rfam family "Eukaryotic small subunit ribosomal RNA", at positions 592 to 1016 of the family's 1831-position model. The record is from RNAcentral.
CAAUAGCGUAUAUUAAAGUUGUUGCAGUUAAAAAGCUCGUAGUUGGAUUUCUGGCAGAGUGUCCUUUGGCCAGCAUGACGUUUGGUCCAGAGCGCUCUACCAUCCUUCUGUUAACCUUUACAGGAUUCGUUUUCUGCAUUGGGGCUCAGAUAUUUUUACCUUGAGAAAAUUAGAGUGUUUAAAGCAGGCUUUUUGCUAUGAAUACAUUAGCAUGGAAUAAUAAUUUAGGACUCUGUUUCUAUUUUGUUGGUUUCCGGAAACGGAGUAAUGAUUGAUAGGGAUUGUUGGGGGUGCUAGUAUUCAGCGGCCAGAGGUGAAAUUCUCGGAUUCGCUGAAGACUAACUUAUGCGAAAGCAUUCACCAAGGAAGUCUUCUUUAAUCAAGAACGAAAGUUGGGGGAUCGAAGACGAUCAGAUACC